AGAGAGGAUAGAACAGUGAUGUUUAUGCUGCUAUAUUUUUGCUAUGUAGGCACUAGCAGAUCUCAAUUUUUCUCUAGAAUCUGUGGAAGAUUUUUUUCCCCAGAAAAUGGUAGUGGAGCAUAAAUUUUUUUGAAAGCAUAGGAUGCAGCAUAUCAAGUAGAUGAUAUGAUUGAAUCCCAUGUUUCGAAUCAGAUUCAAACAAAAUUGGAAAUUUUCUUCAAGCGAUUGAUUUAUGCUCUUCAAAAUCUGAUUUCUGCUAGCAGGAUUCGUCUUUUAGGUAUGAAUAUAAGCAGAAACUGAUUCGAUUACAGAGACGAUGAGGACAGGUGUUGGUUAAAAGGUUUUGCUAAGGGAUUCUUUGCCUGGUUUUUCAAGCCUUUUAUGAGAAAAAUAUAGUGGUGUUUGAUGAUGAGUUGAUUCAAGUAAUGGGUUGGGUUUUUGGCUGCAAUCGGAACUCCAAAUCAUCCUAGUUUUUGGGAUGGAAAGCAUGGUAAGACUAAUCUUGCUGUAAAUCGGAUCAAAUUACAACCAUGAGAUGCUGAAACAGCAAAUUAAUGCCUUCCGAAGCCGGAAUGGGAUUCAGUAAAUUAGAAUUCCUUCAUAUUGAAUGGGCAGAUCUAGUGCAUAGAGUCAGAUAAACAUCCAUUUUCUGAGCCUUCAGUGCCUGAUUCUUAGCUGCUGCUUCACAACGGUAAAGAUCUUUUGGGGUACUUGCUACCAGUUGGGUGCUCAUUAAAAAGAUAACCUCAAAUGUGGCUGCCCUUCUUUCUUGGGAAGAUGUGAUGAAAAUUCUGCUGAAAUGGUACGACUGUGGAAUGGCUUCUGCAGUUACGCUUUGCCUUCAAAGGAUGAUAAUUUGGAAGAUUUUGCAGGCCAAACUCAAUCUCAAAUUUUCUCCUUAUACUAUCUUGGCUGCAGACAGACCAUUGUUUUCCACACUGUCCAUCACUGCUGCAAAUGAAUUCUUCAAUAGUCUCUGGCUGUUUUUCAUCAGGAAGAGCUAUAGGGCUAGAAGAGUUUCUUUCACUUGAUAAUCCUAAGAUAUAAUCCAAGAACGAGUACUGCAGUGAAGAACUACACAAGGAUCAUUAUGAAGAUUUCUAGCAAGAAUAGUCUUACCAAUGCCUCCCAUCCCAAUAACUGGGAUGAUUUGGAGUUUCAAUUGUUGCCAAUGAGCCAACCAUGAUUUGGAUCAAGUCAUCAUCAAAUCCCACCAUAGAUAUCCUUUCCUCAAUAUUUAAGUCUUGAUGAACCCAAAGCAAGUAAUUCGUUAGUAGUAGAUCCUUUAACCCACACCUGUCCUGUGACCCAAUCAAUUUCGUAUUUCACUUUCUUUCUCCAAGUCUUCACAUUUGUGCCCUAAAACAUGAUUCCUGGUUGCCCGAAUUAGCUUUUGGACUGCCGGCAUAAAUUAAUCGCUUGAAGGAAAUUCCGAUUCCAAAUGAAUUUGACUUGAAUUAUGGUAUUCAAUUAUAUCUUCUGCUUGAGAUGCUGCAUCUUUGAUCUGGCUUUCCAAACAUUUUCAUGUUUCUCUGCAAUUUUCAAUAAAAUAAUUUUCUCCAAAUUUUAGCAAAAAAUGGUUUUUCUAUUUAAGCAUCUAAUAUGUUGAUUCUUGCAAAGAAUUCAAUGCUCUGACCAACUCGGGUUUGAUCGAAGUUUAUAAGCACUUUUAAGUGCCCUCAGUGUGAGCUGGUUUCGAAGUUGACUCGGAAAGGGCUAUUUUCAUUAGAAGAUGCCCAAGCAGAAAAAUGGGGCUUUGAUGUAUUUGUGAAAGCGAUGGAUUGUAAAUGUAACUUGGGAAUCUCUUAUUGCUCUCAACUUUUGUAAAGAAUUUAAGUACUCGAUGUCUACAUAUUGCUAUUGCUAGUAACAUAAUAUUGUUCAGUUCA
Long non-coding RNA from Olea europaea var. sylvestris, 1889 nucleotides. RefSeq lists it as uncharacterized. The transcript is spliced from 2 exons. Lineage: Eukaryota; Viridiplantae; Streptophyta; Magnoliopsida; Lamiales; Oleaceae. The record is from RefSeq and is a predicted model, not a curated record.